GAUGAACGCUGGCUACAGGCUUAACACAUGCAAGUCGAGGGGAAACGGCAUUGAGUGCUUGCACUGAAUGGACGUCGACCGGCGCACGGGUGAGUAACGCGUAUCCAACCUUCCCGUUACUGCGGGAUAACCUGCCGAAAGGCAGACUAAUACCGCAUGUUCUUCGAUGACGGCAUCAGAUUCGAAGCAAAGAUCCGUCGGUAACGGAGGGGGAUGCGUCUGAUUAGCUAGUUGGCGGGGCGACGGCCCACCAAGGCGACGAUCAGUAGGGGUUCUGAGAGGAAGGUCCCCCACAUUGGAACUGAGACACGGUCCAAACUCCUACGGGAGGCAGCAGUGAGGAAUAUUGGUCAAUGGACGCAAGUCUGAACCAGCCAAGUAGCGUGCAGGAUGACGGCCCUAUGGGUUGUAAACUGCUUUUAUGUGGGAAUAAAGUGGCGCACGUGUGCGCCAUUGCAUGUACCUCAUGAAUAAGGACCGGCUAAUUCCGUGCCAGCAGCCGCGGUAAUACGGAAGGUCCGGGCGUUAUCCGGAUUUAUUGGGUUUAAAGGGAGUGUAGGCGGUCUGUUAAGCGUGUUGUGAAAUUUAGGUGCUCAACAUUUAACUUGCAGCGCGAACUGUCAGACUUGAGUACACGCAGCGCAGGCGGAAUUCAUGGUGUAGCGGUGAAAUGCUUAGAUAUCAUGAGGAACUCCGAUCGCGAAGGCAGCCUGCGGGAGUGUUACUGACGCUUAAGCUCGAAGGUGCGGGUAUCGAACAGG
RNAcentral lists this ribosomal RNA (761 nucleotides) under Prevotella nigrescens. RNAcentral's name for it is "bacterial SSU rRNA". It matches the Rfam family "Bacterial small subunit ribosomal RNA", at positions 28 to 776 of the family's 1533-position model. Lineage: Bacteria; Pseudomonadati; Bacteroidota; Bacteroidia; Bacteroidales; Prevotellaceae. The record is from RNAcentral.